This 31-nucleotide non-coding RNA is filed under the name Homo sapiens (human). Lineage: Eukaryota; Metazoa; Chordata; Mammalia; Primates; Hominidae. The record is from RNAcentral.
UACUGCCUGAUGUCUUGGAGUGACAGUCCUU